RNAcentral lists this ribosomal RNA (309 nucleotides) under uncultured eukaryote. Its description in RNAcentral is "partial 18S ribosomal RNA". It matches the Rfam family "Eukaryotic small subunit ribosomal RNA", at positions 1470 to 1796 of the family's 1831-position model. The record is from RNAcentral.
CCCUUAGAUGUUCUGGGCGGCCCGCGCACUACAUUGGCACUCUCAAUAGGUUCCUAGAUCUAAAACUUUGGGGUAUUCUAUUAAGUGGUGUCGUGACUGGGAUUAACCCUUGCAAUUAUUGGUUACGAACGAGGAAUUCCUUGUAAUCGCGGUUUAUCAGCCCGCGUUGAAUGCGUCCCUGCCCUUUGUACACACCGCCCGUCGCUCCUACCGAUGAAUCGUCCGGUGAAGUUCAUGGAGUGGUGGUUGUUCCAGCUGCUGUCGAAGUGAAAUGGACCUCACGAUUUAGAGGAAGGAGAAGUCGUAACA